ACGUCUUAAGAGAAGCAGCCACAGUCACACUGAGUAAGCCUGUGGAAGCUGUGCAGAGCGAGUAGUAUUCUGCAAUACAGCUAUCCACAACAGCUUCAUUCAUUCUCAAACUCAACUUUUUGGGUUGUUUCCAUUUUUUCAAAUGAAGAUGCCACAGGAAUCCAUAUACAAGGUCUCUCACUGGGACCUGGGACUCUCCAUCUGACUAGACUGCCUGCCAGCUUGGGGGAUCUUCUUGGCUCCGUGUCCAUGAGGUUUGGCAGAUGCCCCCGAGCGAAAUGGCUGAAUCCUAUAGUUGAUGGAUGCCCAACUGGAUCCAUCACAUUUUCCCAAAGCAGUUUGCCAUUUUACACUUUUGCCAGGAGUAUAUUAAAGAUGUAAUUCCUCCAAA
Molecule: long non-coding RNA, 391 nt
Organism: Mus musculus (house mouse)
Lineage: Eukaryota; Metazoa; Chordata; Mammalia; Rodentia; Muridae
Product: predicted gene, 40796
Exons: 3
Source: RefSeq, a predicted model, not a curated record